AUUUGUCCAAAAUUUUGUGCAAAUUUUUUCUGUUCCCGGUUUCUAUUCGCCAUGUUACUGUGUGCAAUAUCACCCAAGACUGAGACAAAGAACCAAUCAGAACAUGGAAAGAGAUGCUAAAUUUAGACGCAAUUGUGUGGUUUUCCCAAAACAGCAGCAAUUGAGAGGCCCUCAGCAGGUAAAACAUUCAUUUUGUUAUUUUAUAAACUUGAAGCAACAGUGUUUCUAAAUUAUUCUUCCUUUUUCUCACUUUAAACCUGAAAAUUAAUGCUUGUUGUGGACAGAGAUGCUUUGAAGAAUCAUGGUAGAGUACCACUAGAGCAUGCCAUAUACUAAAUAUCUAAGCUCUGGGCCUUAUGGUUUGAGACAAGAAUUAUUUUAAAGGUUUUUCCCUAUACAAGACUAUUUAAACCAUGUCCAUAUUUGACCCAUGGGAAGAUAAUUUGAACAAUCUUGGUAGAGGACCAUUAGAUGAUGCUACAUACCAAAUAUCAAAGCCCUAGACCCAGCUAGUUGGGAGACUAGUCAGGAGACUAGGUCGGAGACUUCCCCUGGAUUGAGAGACAGUCUCUAGAUCUAACAGGGCUCUCGCGAGUGGGCGACUUGAGCGAAAUAGGCGCUCUAGAACUUCAAACUCCGCUCAAAUCUAACUUCAAAGCGAAAUGCAAGUCGCCCGAUUUUCUUUGAUUUCCGCACUCGCUAAUUAGUGCUACCCGGACUGUUGACAAUUUGCACAAUGUCAUAAGGAGUGCCGAAUACACAAACACACGCUGGUAGCAUAAUUUAAGCUCCUCCUACUUCAGGUACUUGCGAGAUUUUCCCGAGAAGUGUGAAAGCGAAUCAAAUUAUCCGAUACACCUCGUUGAUUGUGUUCAGCCAAUUAGCGUCACGUUUAAGUCUUUGACACUUCGUUUUUAAUUGUCAACAUGUUCGAGUGCAAAAAGCAAAGUGUUUUUUUCUGCUGAUUAACCAUGCGAUUAAUUGGAAUUUGGUACACAAUUAUUUGUUAUCUAUGAUAAAAGAACGACAUUUAAUGUAUUAACAAUAUUUAAAUUGACUUCCAUCGAUGAAUUUAUUUGAAUAUGUAUUUCUAGAUUACACAGUUUACUUUCAGUUUCAUUCGAGUGAGAUUCUGAAAUUCCUCCGUGAAUAAAUCGGUGUUAAUAAUAAACACUUCAUACAAGAUAUAACCAAAAUUUGGCGGGUUACAUUUACAGAAUCGGCUUGAAUUUUGAAAAAGAUUUUUUUCAGAAUUUUUUAACGAAACAAUAACCACUGUAUGGGAAAUGAUUUAACUAAGAAAAUGAAUGGUCACAUUAAUACUUUUUAUCAAGAAACAAAAAAAUUACAGCAACCUUUCGAGUCACUCGACAUCAUUGCGGUAGGAAAAGUCUUCCCACUUCUCCCUAAAGUCUCCCCACUUCUCCCUAAAUCUGCUUGAGGGAGAAGUGACUUCUCCCAAAAAAUUGGACCUAGCUAGACCCCUUAUUGUAUGUAUGUAAUAAUGUUGCAUUUUGAAAAUGUUCAGACCUAUUAAAAGAGAAAUAUUAAGGAGAUGCUAGUUGAGAUUGAUGUUGGUACCAUUAGACAUGUUCACUAUCUGUUGAUUUAAUUCAGACAGUUGCAUGCCUGGAGUCUGUAUGAAGCAAAACUAUAUUUAGAUUUUUUUUUUCAACAGAAGCUAUUCAUCUAAUUUUUUCCCAUGAUAUUAUAUCACUAAAUGUGUAAGUGAUGCAAUUGGAUCAAAAUGAUGCAUUUAAAAGUGAAAGAGAAAACUUAUUUUGCUAAAAACAAAUGUUAUAAUUAGUUUGUAAUUAUGAGACAACAAACCUAUCUAUAAUGGUUAACUCCCCUUUUUAUUAUUACUACCAGACACACAGUCAGUGCAAGAAAAGAAAGAUUUUUUACAGGAGUAUUGACAGUGAGAUGUCAGAAUGUGAAAUGGAGACUUAACCCUUACCAUGCUAAAUUUCUAUUAUGGACUGGUCCAUCUUCCAAUUUGGGCAGUACCAUUUAUCAUCUGAAGGGGUGUUUACUAAAAAUUUACUGACUGAAUAGCAAACAGUGCAGACCAUGAUCAGACUGCACGGAUGUGCAGACUGAUCUUUGUCUGCACUGGUCGCAAAGGCAGAAUCACUUGCCGCCAGCAGGCUAAGGGUCAAAAUAUUAGAUAUACAGACAAGAGUAUAAAAUCAGGUUAAAAACAUACAUUACUACAAUUAAUUGUAUGUAUUUUGGCAUACUGCCAGCUUCAAAGGAUUUAAGUGUAGGUAGAAGAACAAUUUCAGUUGGAUGGUUGUUCAACAGGAUAAGGAUGAUUAGAAAAAAGAAAAAAAGGCAGUUGUAUGAUGUUAUCUAUUGCAAUUGUACGCUAAAGGGUGUGUUUGACGAGUCCUGGGUCUUUCAAAAUUUAGCUGCUUUCACAUUUCAUAUUAUAGUAACUUUAUAGUUAUUUUCCAUUUAGAAUAGACUGCAUAACAUUUUAGGAUUAUAGACACAUAUUGUUGACCAUAUGUACAAGUCAUUUUCAUAGCAAUCAUGUCUUGAGAGGCAACUGUGAGAUGACAACCUUGUGUUCAUGAAGUGCUCCAGUCUUGAUGAAUACUCCAUAUAAUUUGUUGUUGCCUUUGUAAUGAUAGAGAGGCUGUGAUUUCUCAUUUUGCUAGUGGCACAAAUAACAUUAUGUUAGUUUGUUAAGUCUUUUUAUUUGUUUUUUUUUGCUGUUGUUGGUAUUUUUGAACAUAUAUAUGAUUCAGAUUUUUUAUAUUUUUGGGAAUGAUGUUUACUUGGGACCAAAUGUGUUAAAUUGUUUAAUUUUUGCCCUAAUGUGAGGAAAUCCACUAACAUUAUUCCAGAAAUCUCUAAUAUUGUACGAUGUUUUUGGACCGUUUUAACUGUUAUGUUUUUGAGGACAGUAGGUCAGUAGAUUGAAAAUAGUGUCUGAGUAAAUAACUGAUGUUCUAUGUUUCUUGUUGAUUGAGUUAAGUGAUUUAUUUGGACAGCUUGCCCUACUAGUAUUCUUCUGAUGAUGCGGCAAACACACCCAAAUCUCUAAUCAACUCUCUUGUUACAUCACGUUCGGAUUAUUGCAACUCUCUUCUAUAUGGAAUUCCAAAACAGUCAAUGAACAAACUGCAAUAUGUCCAAAACACGGCAGCUAGAAUUGUAACCAGAACAUCCAGAUACGACCAUAUAACGCCUGUGCUACGUGAACUCCAUUGGCUUCCUGUGCAAUGUAGGGUAGAAUACAAAAUUAUAACACAUACAUAUCAAUUGCUUUAAUUAAGAACUCUAGUGUGACAGAAUAAUGUUGGCGGUGUUUUUUUUUUCUGUGGGAUGUAUCAUGGAUGUCCUCCGGACCGUUUAGGUAGGGAUUGACCCAAUCAUCCGGGACAGUUUGCAUGCUGUGAUGCAUUUCGCAGACAUCAUACCGGUUAAUUCUGUCUGUUCAAAAUGUAAGAUAUCUUCUGUUCUAUUCUGCUCUAACAUGUGUCUUUGAUGUUUUGCGAUAUUGUAUUUUUGUUUCAUGUUUUGAUCUGCCUACCUUUAAUUUAAAAUGCUUGGUAUCUUAUUACCGUAAUGUAAUUUUAAGUUCUUCUAUAAUAGUUCAAUUACCAUUUUUUAUUGAACAUUAUAUAAAUGAUUUUAUGUAAAGCACUUUUGAACGUAUUUUUAUAUGAAAAGAGUGCUAUAUAAAUGUGGUAUGUAAUAAUAAUAAUUAUUAUUAUUUUGAAGGAACCUUAACAGUUUCAAGACAAGGUGACUAGUUUUAAGGGUUUUCUAUCACAUAGUUUUUCAGAGUAAAAAGCCUUUGAAAUAUCAAAUAAGUAAAUCUUGCCCUGACUACUUCCACUUGUUGAGUUUCAGCAAAAGUUCAUUAUCAGUAAAAUCUGUAAAAAGAUCCUUUCCAAACACAGAAUGCAACCAAGCAGAAUAAUAGCAGACUCGGUUUGAUUGAGUCUGUUCGUGAGAUGUAAUGAAAUGUGCAACACCUCUUACACCCCCUUUCACCGGCUUAAGCAGAACUUUGUUACACUUAUAAUGAAUGGACUCCAUGAUCUCAAAGGACUAGUUUUACAUAUUCUCAUCAUUUUCAUAAGAAAACCAACAUAGUGCAUUUGCGACCAGCAUGGAUCCAGAUCAGCCUGCGCAUCCACGCAGUCUGGUCAGGAUCCAUGCUGUUCGCCAACAGUUUCUCUAAUUGUAAAAGACAUUGAAAGCGAACAGCAUGGAUCCUGACCAGACUGUGGAUGAGCAAUGCUCAGGUGAGUUUUUGUGACCGCUCGAUGUCUGUCUGUCAAAAUUUAGCUUGUGUAUGCGAUACAGGCUGUAUUUUUCAAUUGAUCUGCAUGAAAUUUUGUCAGAAUGAUUACCUUGAUGAAAUCUAGGCCAUGUUCAAAAAUGGGUCAUGUGGGGUCAAAAACUAGGUCACUAGGUCAAAUCAAAGAAAAACUUUGUGUAUGCAAUAGAGGCUGUAUUUUUCAAUUGAUCUUCAUGAAUUUUGAUCAGAAUGAUUACCUUGAUGAAAUCUAGGCCAAGUUUGAAAAUGGGUCAUGUGGGGCCAAAAGCUAGGUCACUAGGUCAAAUCAAAGAAAAACCUUGUGUAUGCGAUACAGGCUGUAUUUUUCAAUUGAUCUUCAUGAAUUUUAAUCAGAAUGAUAACCUUGAUGAAAUCUAGGCCAAGUUCGAAAAUGGGUCAUCUGGGAUCAAAAACUAGGUCACUAGGUCAAAUCAAAUAAAAACCUUGUGUAUGCUAUAGAGGCUGUAUUUUUAGCUCACCUGAGCCAAAGGUUGGGGUCAAAAACUAGGUCACUAGGUCAAAUCAAAUAAAAACCUUGUGUAUGCGAUAGAGGCUGUAUUUUUAGCUCAUCUGAGCCAAAGUCUCAUGGUGAGCUAUUGUGACUGCUCAAUGUCCGUCGUGCAUCGUCUGUCGUCCGUAUGUCAACAUUUCAUAAAAAAAUCUUCUUCUUGGAAACCACUGGGCAGAAUUACACAAAACUUCACAGGAAUGAUCCUUAGGUGGCCCCCUUUCAAAAUUGUCCAAAGAAUUGAAUUCCAUGCAGAACUCUAGUUGCCAUGGCAACCGAAAGGAAAAACUUAAAAAAUCUUCUUGUCCAAAACCACAGGGCCUAGGGCUUUGAUAUCUAGUGUGUAGCAUCAUCUAGUGGUCCUCUACCAAAUUUGUUCAAAUUAUCUCCCUAGGGUCAAAUAUGGCCCCGCCCCGGGGGUCACAUGGUUUAUAUAGACUUAUAUAGGGAAAACUUUGAAAAUCUUCUUGUACAAAACCACAUUGCCUAGGGCUUUGAUAUUUGGUAUGUAGCAGCAUCUAGUGGUCUUCUACCAAGAUUAUUCAAAUUAUCCCCCUAGGGUCAAAUAUAGCCCCGCCCCGGGCGUCACAUGGUUUAUAUAGAGUUAUAUAGGGAAAACUUUGAAAAUCUUGUACAAAACCACAUGGCCUAGGGCUUUGAUAUUUGGUAUGUAGCAUCAUCUAGUGGUCCUCUACCAAGAUUGUUCAAAUUAUCCCCCUAGGGUCAAAUAUGGCCCCGCCCCGGUGGUCACAGGGUUUAUAUAGAGUUAUAUAGGAAAAACUUUGAAAAUCUUCUUGUACAAAACCACAUUGCCUAGGGCUUUGAUAUUUGGUAUGUAGCAUCAUCUAGUGGUCCUCUACCAAGAUUGUUCAAAUUAUUCCCCUAGGGUCAAAUAUGGCCCCGCCCCGGGGGUCGCAAGUUUUACAUAUACUUAUAUAGGGAAAAAAGAUUAAAAACCUUCUUGUCUGAAACCACAACUCUGAGACCUUUGAUAUUUGGUUUGUAGCAUUGUCUUAUGGUCCUCAACCAAAAUUGUUCAAAUUGUACCCCUGGGGUGAAAAGAGGCCCUGCCCUGGGGGUACCAAGUUUUAUAUAGACUUAUAUAGGAAAAAGCUCUAAAAAUCUUUUUGUCAGAAACCAUACAACCUAGGCUUUUGAUAUUUGGUAUGAUGCAUUGUCUAGUAGUCCUCUACCAGAAUUGUUCAAUUUAUGCCCCUGGGGUUAAAAGAGGCCCCGUCCUGGGGUCACUUAGUUAUUAUGUGAGUUAUAUAGGAAAAAUACUUAAAAAAUCAUCUGAUCCUAUUUCCAAGACUAUUUAAUUAUAAUUACCUGAUGACCCCAAGUAAUAUGACGUCACUUGAUUGUGACCAUGACCUAUUGACCUACUUUCUUGUUUUUUAAGAUACAGCCUGGUAAAACUGAAUUUCAUUGACCAUGAAUGUGACCUACUAACUUUCUUAAUAUUUUAUCAUCAGUUUGACAUUUGAAACAUGUAGCUGAUAUUACUCAGGUGAGCGAUCCAGGGUCAUCAUGACCCUCUUGUUCAACUGAUCUUCCUGAAAUUAAGUCAGAAUGAUUGCCUUGAUAAAAUCUAGGCCAAGUUUGAAAAUGGGUUAUGUUGGGUCAAAAACUAGGUCACAAGGUCAAAUCAAAGAAAAACUUGUGUAUGCGAUAAGGUUGUAUUUUUCAACUGAUCUUCACGAAAUUUUGUCAGAAUGAUUGCCUUGAUGAAAUCCAGGCCAGUUUGGAAAAUGGGUCAUGUGGGGUCAAAAACUAGGUCACUAGGUCAAAUCAAAGAAAAACCUUGUGUAUGCGAUAGAGGCUGUAUUUCUCAAUUGAUCUUCAUGAAUUUUUGUCAGAAUGAUUGCUUGAUGAAUUAUAGGUCAAGUUGAACUGUUCGACUAUGGGUUAUCUUGGAUCAAAAACUAGGUCACUAGGUCAAAUCAAAGAAAAACCUUGUGUAUGCAACAGGGGCUGCAUUUUACACCGGAUCUUCAUGAAAUUUGAUCAGAAUGUUUUUCUUGAUGAAAUCUAGGAGGAGUUUGAAUAUGGAUUAUCUAGGGUCAAAAACUAGGUCACAUGGUCAAAUUAAAUAAAAACCUUGUGUACGCAAUAGGGGCUGCAUUUUACACUGUUUUAUUCAUAAAAUUUAGUUUGAAUGAUUGCCUUGAUGAAAUGUAGGUUAAGUUAGAAUACGAGUGAUCUGGGAUCAAAAAGUAGGUCACUUGGCCAAAUCAAAGAAAAACCUCGUGUAUGCAAUAGAGACUGUAUUUUUCAAUUGAUCUUCAUGAAAUUUGGUCAGAAUGAUUGCCUUGAUGAAAUUAAGGUUAAGUUUGAAUAUAGGUCAUUCAAAAACUAGGUUGCUAGGACAAAUAAAAGAAAAACGUUUUGUAUGCGAUAGAGGCAGUAUUUUUCAGUUGAGGUUGAUGAAAUUUAGUCAGAAUGAUUGCCUUGAUCAAAACUAGGUCAGUUUCGAAUGUAGGUCAUCUUGGUUAAAAAAUUAGGUCACUAGGUCAAAUUGAAGAAAAUACUUGUUUACACUUAGGAGACCACAUUUUUGGUCCAAUCUUAAUGAAAAUUGGUCAGAAUAUUUGUUUCCAUUAAAUCACUAGGUCAAACAUGUUUACACUGUUAUGAUGUGUUUCUCAUGUGAGCGACCUAGGGCCAUCUUGGCCCUCUUGUUUCUAGUAAGUGCGUUCAUAUUGAUAAGUGGAGGGUACUCUUCUACAAAUGCUAAAUACCACCUAUGGACAUGCACAACCUGUUUAAAGACCAAUAGUUUUGUUGUAAUUGUUAUAAAGCAUUUAUGGUCAGUAUUUAAUAUGCAAAUAAAUACUACUUACUUUCUCUGGUUUGGUCCACCCGUAUAAGUUUGACUGUAUAUUAAUGUGUUUUGAAGAGCCAUCUAUACUUUUAAUAUGUAUUUGUAAGGAACCAGUCUAAUUAUAAGUUAUCACAGUCAACAGUCAAGAGUCAAUAGUAAUUAUUAUAAGGCAGUGGCUACAAUUACGGUACCGUAAUCUUAGCCUCUGAUUCUAGGAUUACGGAAGUUCCGUAUUCGUAUACAACCCUUUGAGGAUAGUCUAGGAUUACGGAAGUAUUUAAGAGGCAUCAAAUAUAUGUUAAGACGAGCAUGAAUGAUUAUUUCACUUAAAAUAGCGGAAAUGAAAUACAAAAAAGGUAUAACGGGUAUUGAUUCCGCCCGAUUUCAAUAUGCGUGAAAAUCUAAAAUCGUGCCCGCCCGGUUAGCUCAGUAGGUAUCUACGGAUCUCGGGGUCGUGAGUUCAAUCCCCGGGCAGGGCGUAUGUUCUCCGUGACUAUUUGAUAAACGACAUUGUGUCCGAAAUCAUUAGUCCUCCACCUCUGAUUCAUGUGGGGAAGUUGGCAAUGACUAGCGGAGAACAGGUUUGUACUGGUACAGAAUCCAGGAACACUGGUUAGGUUAACUGCCCGCCGUUACAUGACUGAAAUACUGUUGAAAAACGGCGUUAAACCCAAAACAAACAAACUGACAAACAAACAGUGACCGGCAAAAUCAAAUAAUAAAAUUUAAAGUAUAGACAAUUUUUUAAAAUCCUUUUGAGCUAUUAUUAAGAAUACAAUUCUUCGUUUGUCUGCCAAUUUUCAAGCCAAAAAAAAAAGUAUGGUUUUGGAAAGAAAAACGUAUGUGUACGGGUGUUGAUUUCGCCUAUACUAACCAAAAGGAAGUAUCUAAGGGUACGGAUCCGUACCUGUAAAAUCUGAUUCCAGAGGUACGGAUCCGUACCUUUAGACAAGCCUGUUAUGGUUUUUCUAGGGAUACGGACCUCCAUUUUUCUAGAGAUUAAGGGUUAUUUACAUUUCAAAGUUUGUUGAAAAUGAAAUAACAAAUAAGACUUCAUCAGUGUUCACCUUAAACUUGGAUCUAAAUGGUUUACAGAUACCAACGUUCACCCGAUUGGUUAUACAUUUUCUUUAGAAGCGUAAAUAAUCGAGGAACACCAAAUAAAUCAAGAGGUUUCGAAUUUGCAGAAAAAAGAUUAAACAAAAUAAUGGUUGUGAAAAAACCCAACUAUUUUUAGAGUGAUAAUUAACCCUUGGGAUAUUUAUGUUUUUCACACAUUUGGUAGCCGUUACGAGACACAAUGGACGUUUUCACAAACAGUUUCUUUUACUUAAUGUCGGUUAAUUAAUUAUUAAACAAUCAGGUCCGUGUCGAUUAUCAUUAUAUGUUUAUAUGUUGUUAAAUAACAAAAUAAAUAGGUGAAUAUUAUUAUGUGUAUUUUUUUCUCUCCUGAAAUUCAAAUAUAAUUCAUUCAAGGCUGAGAGUCACUCAUUAAUCUGUUAUCAACAGAUUAUUUUGCAAUAAACUAAUCUAAAAAAACAAAAACAAAAAAACAACAGAAAACAAUCGAGUGAACACUGGUUACGUCUUAUCUGUUAUUUCAUUUUCAACAAAAUUUAAGACGUAAAUAAUCUAAAUCUCUAGAAAAAGGAGGCUCGUACCUCUAGAAAGCCCCUAACAGUCUAGAGGUACGAAUCCGUACCUCUAGAAUCAAAUUCUAGAGGUACGGAUCCGUACCCCUGGACAUUUCCUAACCCAAAAUGGCUGAUCGAUAAUACGAAAUAAUAGGACAGGCAUGAAAAAAACAACAACGCUAUUUUAAGUGAAAUAAGUAAGUUUACAAUAACUUUAUGCACAUCCUAAUAUUCAUUUGAUGCCUCUUAAAUACUUCCGUAAUCCUAGCCUUUCCUCAUAGGGUUGUCUAGGAAUACUGAACUUCGUAAUCCUAGAAUCGGAGGCUAAGAUUACGGUAUCGUAAUCGUAGCCACUGCUUUAUUUUAUUAUAAUUAGGUAUGCACAUUCUUUGUUAUAACAGAGUUUAUUUAUUUUCCUAUUCUAACGUGAAUUAAACAGAUAACUGAAA
Mercenaria mercenaria is the source of this 9715-nucleotide long non-coding RNA. RefSeq lists it as uncharacterized. The record is from RefSeq and is a predicted model, not a curated record. The transcript has 2 exons. Lineage: Eukaryota; Metazoa; Mollusca; Bivalvia; Venerida; Veneridae.